RNAcentral lists this small RNA (2448 nucleotides) under Pan troglodytes (chimpanzee). RNAcentral's name for it is "retained intron". Lineage: Eukaryota; Metazoa; Chordata; Mammalia; Primates; Hominidae. The record is from RNAcentral.
GUGGAGUCAGUGGAGGCUCGGUCCUUGCUCUACCUGCAUGGGGGAAGACUCAGGGGUGUUGCCUAUUGACUGCGCCCCUUACAGAGAGGGAUCAGGACGGUAUGAGUCCUGGCUUCACCCGCUUAAAGCACUGUAAGUGGCCAAAUUCCUGGUCCCCACAUGAUUUCUAAAGGGGUUCGAGUUGUCACUCAUUAUCCAGCAGUGGAUGGGGAGGGGGAACAGGAGACUGGGGACGUGGGAAAUGCAGCUGGAAGAGACCCUCGCGCUAGAGGGUCCAGGCCCUGACUUCACGCCCCGCCAUCGCUCCCCAGCUGACCUCGUGCGUCCACGCGUCCUGCGCGCUCCUGUACCCCAUGCGCUGGGAGCACGUGCUGAUCCCCACGCUGCCCCCACACCUGCUGGACUACUGCUGAUGCCCUCCUCUGCCAAGGACUCCCGGGCUCUGAGCGGCCGGCCCCGCUUUUCCGCAGAGAGUACGAGAAAAAGCCCUGGAGGACGUCGUGGUGCUGAACGUGGACGCCAAUACCUUGGAGACGACCUUUAACGACGUGCAGGCGCUGCCUCCAGACGUGGUGUCCCUGCUGAGGCUCCGGCUCAGGAAGGUCGCCCUGGCUCCCGGGGAAGGGGUGUCCCGUCUCUUCCUCAAAGCCCAGGCCCUGCUCUUCGGGGGGUACCGCGACGCACUCGUCUGCAGCCCGGGCCAGCCAGUGACCUUCAGUGAGGAAGCCUUCUUGGCCCAGAAGCCUGGGGCACCUCUUCAGGCCUUCCACCGGCGGGCUGUGCACCUGCAGCUGUUCAAACAGUUCAUCGAAGCCCGGCUGGAGAAGCUCAACAAGGGGGAGGGCUUCUCAGAUCAAUUCGAGCAGGAGAUCACUGGCUGCGGGGCCUCCUCAGGUGAGCCCUGAGUCCAGCCCCUGGGUCCCCCACUACCCACCACCAGCACCCCCAGCCUCAGCCAGCCUUCGGUGACCACCACACUCUCUCCUUACCCCAGGGGCCCUUCGAUCCUAUCAGCUCUGGGCCGACAAUCUAAAGAAAGGUGGUGGUGCCCUCCUGCACUCAGUCAAGGCCAAGACCCAACCAGCCGUCAAGAACAUGUACCGCUCGGCCAAGAGUGGCUUGAAGGGGGUGCAGAGCCUUCUAAUGUAUAAGGAUGGGGACUCUGUCCUGCAGAGGGGGGGCUCUCUGAGGGCCCCAGCCCUCACCAGCCGCUCAGACCGCCUGCAGCAACGCCUCCCAAUCACUCAGCACUUUGGAAAGAACCGGCCCCUUCGCCCCAGCAGGAGACGCCAGCUGGAAGAGGGAACUUCCGAGCCCCCAGGGGCGGGGACACCCCCGCUGAGCCCUGAGGAUGAGGGGUGCCCGUGGGCAGAAGAAGCUCUGGACAGCAGCUUCUUGGGGUCUGGAGAAGAACUGGAUUUGUUGAGCGAGAUUCUGGACAGUCUUAGCGUGGGAGCCAAGAGCGCAGGCAGCCUGAGACCGAGCCAGAGUUUAGACUGCUGUCACAGAGGAGACCUGGACAGCUGCUUCAGCCUGCCCAACAUACCAAGAUGGCAACCAGACGAUAAGAAACUACCAGAGCCGGAGCCCCAGCCCCUGUCCCUGCCAUCCCUGCAAAAUGCCUCGUCUUUGGAUGCCACCAGCUCUUCAAAGGACCCCAGGUCCCAGCUGAUACCCUCAGAGUCCGACCAAGAAGUCACGUCUCCAUCCCAGUCCUCAACAGCUUCUGCAGACCCAAGCAUCUGGGGGGACCCCGAACCCUCUCCUCUCACAGAGCCCCUAAUUCUUCAUCUCACCCCUUCCCACAAGGCACCUGAAGAUUCUAUAGCCCAGGAAAACCCCACUCCCUGGCUCUCCACUGCACCCACUGAGCCCAGCCCUCCAGAAAGCCCCCAAAUUCUGGCCCCCACAAAGCCCAACUUUGAUAUAGCCUGGACGUCCCAGCCCCUUGAUCCUUCCUCAGACCCCAGUUCUCUGAAGGAACCCAGAGCCCAGCCUCCCAAAGCCCUGCUGGCAGAGCACGCUCACCUCCAGCCACGGGAGGAACCAGGAGCCCUGAAUUCCCCUGCUACACCCACCAGCAACUGGCAAAAGCCCCAGCCCAGUAGCCGGCCCAGAGUCGCUGAUCUUAAGAAGUGCUUUGAGGGUUAAGAAUCAGGGGUCCAGGAGAGACCCCAGUCCCUCAAUAAAGCCACAAGAGCCCAAAAAAGCUGGUUUUUUUCCUGGUGAAUUUCUCUGGUGCCCUCACUCUGCUCGGAAAUCCAUCCCACCCACCUCUGUCCCUCCAAGGGCAGCCUCUCUAACUGGCUCCUAGCAGGGAAUUCCAGGAAGCCUCCUGGUCCUCUACAAUCCUGGCAACCUUACAAUUCCUCUCGGCAUUUGUCACUUCCAUCUCAGCUAAUGCACCCACCAGCUCAAACACACCAAUAAAGCUUUUGUUACAUCUCA